UCAGCUGUUAAGAGUCCUUGUUGCUUUUGCAGAGGACCCUGUUUUGGUUCCCAGCACUUAUAUGGUGGCUCACAGUCAUCUGUAACUCCAGUUCCUGAGAAUCUGAUAUUUUCUGGGAUUGCAUGUUCUGUACACACAAGUGGUGCACAGACAUACAGGAAGGCAGAACACCCGUAUACAUAAAAUAAAAAUAAAAGAGAGGCAGAAAGUGAGGUUGUAUAAUUUAUGCCACAAGUUUGCAUCUUAAAUUCCUUCCUGGACAAGCUUUCUUGUGGUUAUCCUCUAGUCCUGGAGCUGAGGCAGGAGGACUGCUGUCAGCAGCAGAGAAAAAGCUCACCUCUUCCCAUUCUCUAUUUCUGCAAUGCUCAGGAUUGAACCCAGGGCCUCACCCAUGCUAGCCAAGUACUCUACCAGCUCCAGCCCAAGACCCUCACAUCUU
RNAcentral lists this long non-coding RNA (439 nucleotides) under Rattus norvegicus (Norway rat). Its description in RNAcentral is "long non-coding RNA NONRATT004833". The record is from RNAcentral. Lineage: Eukaryota; Metazoa; Chordata; Mammalia; Rodentia; Muridae.